CAACAAGAAACAAUUAAGCGUACACACAGCAAGUCACACGCCCCUCGCACGCUUUGCGUCGAUCGACUAAGGCGCCGCCGCAAUUAAUCAAGACGUCAAACAUUCGGCUGUCAGUGAUAUUUCCGCUAAAACCACACUAUAGAAAUUCACUUCGAAAAGCAGCUCGGUCCAGUUGGCCGCACAAAGCACACGGUCAUUCUCGAAACGGUGGACCGGCCUUAUAGCACAACGGGAAGACAAAGCACGCUCGUAGGAGGCUGCAUCACUGGAAAGAUAUUUUCACCAGCACAGCUUUAAAGUAAGGCCGCUACUCACAGCUAAACGGACCUAGCAGGCAAGAUUAUUAAGACCGCUCACUCGAUUCACCCAAUCCGCAUGCGAUAAUCGGCAUAUGGGGAAGCAAAUCUGUCGAAGCGGUGGAAACCACGAACACGCAGAGGAAGAUCUGAAAGACAGGUUAGUUAUCGGAUGGUUCGCAAAGCGUGAUCUAAUCAGCACCAACUCGUUCCACAGCAUAACAAGCGAGACAAAGUCAAACGGAUUGAGUGUCCGUUGGGGAAUACGUGCAUCAUUACGACACGACGGGGAUCGAAAAGGUUCCCGUUUUUGUACAUCGAACGAAGUCGUUCCGGUCAUUGCGUGGUGAGAGAUCCGCGACGAACGAGGUGAGCGAUACCAUCGUAAAUACAGCACGUAAACUGCUGAGCCGUGAACGGCAGAGUUGUUGGAUUGAUAUUGGGCGCUCAGUCGACCACGUGUGGCAUAUUAUAGCAGGCGUGACCAGGAUUAGAGGGCGUGCUUCUUCGUGUUGGAAACGCGGUGGACCAACGAACUAACCCACCGAUUUUCGUAACGGUGGAUCAAAAGACAUAGGAGUGCUGCAAGACAAGCGUGGCGGACGAAUGGAAGUAACGUGACGUGUGUAGUGUGGGGCCCCGCUCAAGUGUAGUGAGUACCUAAAAUUAAGCAUGCAAUAGACAGGAGAAAGAGGAAAGAGGAUAGAAGGAGAGGAGAGAGAAGAGAGAAUGAACAAGAUGCAGUAGGUUAAGAAUAAAUGUAGUAGUUGGAAGAUGUGUCGUUGUUUUGUUGGUGCGUUCAG
This is a long non-coding RNA of Topomyia yanbarensis, 1099 nucleotides long. RefSeq lists it as uncharacterized. The transcript has 3 exons. Lineage: Eukaryota; Metazoa; Arthropoda; Insecta; Diptera; Culicidae. The record is from RefSeq and is a predicted model, not a curated record.